AUGAACGCUGACAGAAUGCUUAACACAUGCAAGUCAACUUGAACUUCGGUUUGGGUGGCGGACGGGUGAGUAACGCGUAAAGAACUUGCCUCACAGCUAGGGACAACAUUUGGAAACGAAUGCUAAUACCUGAUAUUAUGAUUAUAUGGCAUCGUAUAAUUAUGAAAGCUAUAUGCGCUGUGAGAGAGCUUUGCGUCCCAUUAGCUAGUUGGAGAGGUAACAGCUCACCAAGGCGAUGAUGGGUAGCCGGCCUGAGAGGGUGAUCGGCCACAAGGGGACUGAGACACGGCCCUUACUCCUACGGGAGGCAGCAGUGGGGAAUAUUGGACAAGGGACCGAGAGUCUGAUCCAGCAAUUCUGUGUGCACGAUGAAGUUUUUCGGAAUGUAAAGUGCUUUCAGUUGGGAAGAAAAAAAUGACGGUACCAACAGAAGAAGUGACGGCUAAAUACGUG
RNAcentral lists this ribosomal RNA (453 nucleotides) under uncultured bacterium. Its description in RNAcentral is "partial 16S ribosomal RNA". It matches the Rfam family "Bacterial small subunit ribosomal RNA", at positions 29 to 507 of the family's 1533-position model. The record is from RNAcentral.